GUCCUCUGAAAUGUAGACGAGCGAGAAGCCACGUGCGCGUGCGCGCGCUGCACGGCUGAGUACACGAACAAUGCGAUUCCUUCCAACCGCACGAACAUUUAGGUAUGCACAAUGCACAUGUAACUAACGUAAGCCCACCGGAGGUACGUACUAUCAAACGAUUAUCACGAUUCCGAAUUCUACGCGAGCGACGAUUGUUGUUUACGUCCGCCAUGACGGGGACGAGAAAAUGGACGCCGAUGGGACGUUCUUUUGUUUUCCUAACCUCUCCGGAGAUUCUGCGCCAUGGUCUUUUCGAAGAGAGAAAAAAGGAAAUGCAACUGGAAAUCAUUCGAUUUUCGGAAACCACCCGUCAACAUUUCAAGUGGGAAAUCAGAAGUACACGACAAUAUCGGCGUCAUAAUUAGGUGUCGUCUGGUUGUAGUUAACG
RNAcentral lists this unclassified non-coding RNA (430 nucleotides) under Athalia rosae (coleseed sawfly). RNAcentral describes it as "misc RNA ENSAEAG00005011179.1". Lineage: Eukaryota; Metazoa; Arthropoda; Insecta; Hymenoptera; Athaliidae. The record is from RNAcentral.